This 471-nucleotide ribosomal RNA is filed under the name Limnohabitans sp. Its description in RNAcentral is "bacterial SSU rRNA". It matches the Rfam family "Bacterial small subunit ribosomal RNA", at positions 395 to 859 of the family's 1533-position model. Lineage: Bacteria; Pseudomonadati; Pseudomonadota; Betaproteobacteria; Burkholderiales; Comamonadaceae. The record is from RNAcentral.
UUCCGCGUGCAGGACGAAGGCCUUCGGGUUGUAAACUGCUUUUGUACGGAACGAAAAGGUCUCUAUUAAUACUAGGGGCUCAUGACGGUACCGUAAGAAUAAGCACCGGCUAACUACGUGCCAGCAGCCGCGGUAAUACGUAGGGUGCAAGCGUUAAUCGGAAUUACUGGGCGUAAAGCGUGCGCAGGCGGUUAUAUAAGACAGAUGUGAAAUCCCCGGGCUCAACCUGGGAACUGCAUUUGUGACUGUAUAGCUGGAGUGCGGCAGAGGGGGAUGGAAUUCCGCGUGUAGCAGUGAAAUGCGUAGAUAUGCGGAGGAACACCGAUGGCGAAGGCAAUCCCCUGGGCCUGCACUGACGCUCAUGCACGAAAGCGUGGGGAGCAAACAGGAUUAGAUACCCUGGUAGUCCACGCCCUAAACGAUGUCAACUGGUUGUUGGGUCUUCACUGACUCAGUAACGAAGCUAACGCG